GCCAGCAGCCAUAUCACUCUGCAACUCAUAGCUGGCAGCCCCACUGAAGCUCAGCAGGUGUGAGCCUGGCCAGCACCUGGAUGGGAGACCUCCUGGGGAAAACUAAGGUUGCUGCUGGAA
RNAcentral lists this ribosomal RNA (120 nucleotides) under Lepisosteus oculatus (spotted gar). The record is from RNAcentral. Lineage: Eukaryota; Metazoa; Chordata; Actinopteri; Semionotiformes; Lepisosteidae.